CUCUAUGCCUUUUUCGCUUUCUAAAUGCUCGGCACGACCCGGCAAGCGAGAUCACAUGGCUCGUGAAAAGAAUGUGCGCCACUUAUUAUGGACACUAAAUUGUUUGGUUCAGUAUUCCUUUAAGCCGAAAAUGAAGCGAAGGCUACAGGCACAAGGCCGCUGCAGCUUGGAGAAAGUUUUAGCUGACAGCGCUCGCGCUAGAAAUGCCCGUUUCAGUGCGCGGCGCACGCGCUAGCACGGGUUCAUAGCCCUUCGCUGUAAUAUCUACAUUACGAAGUUAACUUGAAAUCCAUACUUACGGCUGAACUUCACGACCUGAGCUGUCAGCAGCUUCGUUGUCCCUGUAGCCCGUUUGUUCUUGUCUUCGUUCGGCCAGUUCACUUUUACCCAAUUGUUCUUCUGGGUUGGCCCGGUGUAAGUGGGCCACGUUUUUGAAUUGUGCUUCACUAUUGGAUCGAAGUUUUGAAUGAGUUUCUCUGAAUCAGCUGAAAGGCUCUCGUCCGGAAACCUGUACAGGGCGAACUUGUCCAUCGUAAUGCGGACACUUCGAAGUUCCAACGUCCCAAACGAAAAACGAACGCAACAGAGGUAGACAGAAGCAGUGGUGGCCCAGCCAUUUUAGGUUUUGGAGCAAUUUUUGGAGCAAGAAAAACCCAAUUUUGGAGCAAUUCGUAUCACAUAAACUCCCCUUUUGGAGCAGGGAAAAGCUCGUUUUGGAGCACCUUGGUAUCAGGAAAACUAAACAUUUUGGAGCAGCAUGAACAUAGAGCAGUUCUGUGCCAUGUCUUUAUUAAUAUAUAUAUAUAUUACGGCGGCCCUUGUCAAUCUUUCCUCACCCCCCAUAUAUAUAUAUAGGUCUGUGUGUGUCACGAACAUCUGAAUUUCAUAUAGUAAUUUACAAAGUAAAGAACUCACCAUAAGAAAACCAUUUUAUUUAUGACAGAACAUUCUUGCAGCUAAAGCUUAACUAUGUAACAAAAUAUCACAGAUGAAAACUAAAAUAUUGCUUAAUACUUCUUGCCUUUUGACUGUAGGCUAUAUAUCACAGGUGAAAAAAAAAUAUUGACUCAAUGCUUUUUGCAUUUCUUUUUCAGUUUGUCCAGCUCGCAAAGAGUGUGUGACAAAGUAGCAUUGGCUUCAGCUAACAUAGUUUGGCCACCUUCUACUUUUUCCAAGCUUUGGCACUGCAGUCCUGCGCCAACAAUCUCUUCCGCCCUCUUCAGCAACGCACGGCACGAGAUCACCCUUUCCUCCAACUGCUUCUUUAAGCGCUUGUCAUGCGAGUUGUCAGCAUCAACUUGUGCGCUGUCGGGCUUUUUUCUCUUCAUGACGGCCUCUCUGCUUCCAAAGCUUUUCACUCAUGCUCAUUAUUGUUUGUGACAUAAUCCGGUUUCAUGUCUCAUUCCUUUAUUUUUAACCCUGACCACUAGAGUUCUUUCUUCUUGCUUACCCUCAAUAAAAUAGUUUUUUCUUUGGUGCUGUUUGGCCUCAGCAGCCCUUGCACCAUAAAAACGCAAUCCAACCCUACGCUGAUGUGGGAAUGUGGAGGUGGAUGGCAGGGUGCCUUCUGCAAGCAUCAGGCCCUUGUUCAUCAUCGAUACAGAGGGACCUUCCCCAACGCUUCUCUUCUCUUGGCCCAUGACUGCCACCAGCUCGGGCUCUUGUCUCUGGGAGACAACUGCCAGCCUGUGGCUCUCUUCCAAGCCUUCAAAGAGCCGCCAGGGCAGCCAUCCACCAGUACUGCUGUGAAAGAAACUGCAGCGCCAGCAGAGCCGAGCAGUGCCCCUGCAAUGGAACACCAACAGCUAGCCAGCCUCGACGACUCCCCUCCCAUUAAUCUGCAAGAGCAUCGACAGCAGGGCUGUAGAGGGACAAGCAGCAGCAAGUGUGCACCAGUCGUCCGCACUGACUUCGCUAGUGCUCCAGCUCGUCGAUGUGCAGAAUCUCCAUCCGUCAGCCGAAUAAAGUUAGGUUACAUGUUGAGACCUCAUGGCAGUUGCAUGGAACAAGAAGAAAAGGAAUGGCGCGGCGUGAUACACAAUGCUCAACACUAUGGUCAGUGA
This 2063-nucleotide long non-coding RNA is filed under the name Ixodes scapularis (black-legged tick). RNAcentral describes it as "uncharacterized LOC120843608". Lineage: Eukaryota; Metazoa; Arthropoda; Arachnida; Ixodida; Ixodidae. The record is from RNAcentral.